AUUGAGAGGCAUACACAGAAAAAUUGUCAAAAAUAUUUGAUUCUGAUCUGUUCCAGGAUGAAGUAUACAGGGGACAAUAGUAACCUGCUGUUGCUAGCGGAAGGACACGGCUACACGUGUUACACCUGCCACGUGGGUUUCAAAACCACAGAGGAUCGGUCGACCACCGAUAAAAACCAAAGCUGUUGUUGCAAGGGGCAAUCUACCCCACAGCAGUUCCAACGGAGGAAGUUCAACCUAUUCAGAACGAAGUUAAACGCAAGGUUGCAAUCUAGCCGCUCUUUCAGUCUUAUGAGGCUGAAUUUCAGAGGAAUGUCUCAUUCCCUCCUAAUAAGCCUAGUCAUAGUGUGCACCUGUUUAAGCAGUCUAGUCAAAGCCGAAGAGGAACUGAAACAAGCACCUGCGUUCACCGAUUCAGAAAAGCCAUUCAAAUUAGGAGAGCUAUUGCAGCGGUUGCAAGCGGCCAAGCAAGCUUUAGACCGCGAGAGGAUACUCGAGCAAGCGUCGAAAGACGGCAAGGACCUCUUCGAGUACCUAGGUGAAAACUACUAUGGAUCGGAUUCCUCCGACACCCCGAUUGCGCCUCCGGGCUACCGGGUUAGACUAAUCUCCACGCCAGAGGCCGCCAGAGAUGACUACUUGUACGGCAAAGACAAGCGAGGCAACUACAUGACAUUGUGCCACUUCAAAAUCUGCAAUAUGGGACGGAAGCGGUGGAAAUCGUGGCCCUGACUAGAGCUGGAGCUGGAGCGCUGAAGCGCCCCGACGCCGGCGUCGCCGUACAGCUCGCCCCCACCCGCACGCCCCGCCGUCGCCAACACAUCCACCAGACAAACGUAUUUAUAAUCCGACCUCACCCAGAAGCCAUCUCUUCAGAUUCCUCCCAUACUAAAUUAUUGUAUAAUUUUACCGCAGAACAGACGAUGAAAAGUUGAAUAAAGUCAAUACCGUGAACUUCAAGUUUUCCCAGGUGCUUUUAUUUCCUCCGCGCCUCCUCCCGCUUUACGGCCGAGUUGUUUGGCCGUACUGCCGCGCUGAGAAAUAACGACUUCCUUGCCAACUUUUCCCAGAGCGGAAAGGAAUUACCCGCCAGUGGCGUGGCGUGAAUUGCGAUAUAUCGAUUGUUGUGCCAUUUAAACCUAUGAAAAAAGAUCGACUAUCAGGGUGUUCGCAGCGAACACCUCAAUAAUCGAUUCUUUACCAUAGCUUCAAAUGGCGAGAUAUCGAUAAUCGAUUAUUCACGCCACGCCACUGUUAGCUGCCUCUCAUGAGACACGGCGCGGAAACGAAAGUGUUGGGGGUUAUCCUCUAAAAUUGCGGGGCUACACAAAUUUUUUGGAUGAUGUGGCCAUUCCCGAUUAGUUGAGGGUGGUGCCGCAACAUUUGGAUUGGUAACCUAAUAAUGGGCCACUAGACAAGGUACGAUUUCCAGCAUUCUGAUACAUGUUCCGUAACAAAAAUUGCGCACAACGAAAAUUACCGAAAUUAACUCCUUACGAAGAUAUUUAAUGAUUCUUGAUGCGUGAAUUCAAACCACCCGCUCAUGAAAACUCAAUGCUCUACGUGAUUCACAUCGCGCGCUAAACGUCAUCAUGACAGUCUCUGCUAUAUAAAAAUCUGGCAACCUCAAUCUUGACGCUUCGGCUCAGCUAUAGCAAAUUGCUAAUAGUUUGAACAACACAUGGUGGGAAAUGAACAUUGCUCGAUUGAGAAGCUUGCUGAAACCGUUGUAGUGCGCAAUUUGACUCACGUAGAGCUUUGAGUUUCUUGCGAGCAGGCAGUUCAAAUUCCUCGUAACCAAUGUGCAAUAAAAACGUUAAUAUCUUCGUUUGGAUUGGUUUUAGUUUUUCGUUGCGCGAAUCGUGUUCUACGUGAAGUUCUGGUUAAGAAACAUGUAUCAGAUUGCUUAAAUUCGAACCUUGUCUAGUGGUCCAUUUAUUAGGGUACCGCCGAAAAACCCUUUGAUCCAUACGGACAAGAAUUCUCGUCCUCCCAUAACCACACAGUGACCCUACGGACGAGAAUUCUCGUCUCCGAACUUCAAAAUGCCUCGCGUUUAGGUAGUGUACUUUAUUUGGAAAAAAAGGGUAAUUCACUUUUGGUUACUGAUCUUCACUUCCACGUACCUUUGAAUAAAACACACAAAAUGUCACGCUAUUUUGAUGGAGAAAUAA
Molecule: long non-coding RNA, 2174 nt
Filed under: Bemisia tabaci
Lineage: Eukaryota; Metazoa; Arthropoda; Insecta; Hemiptera; Aleyrodidae
Description: lncRNA ENSASIAIIG008696
Source: RNAcentral